UCCUUAGCGACGCGGGCGCCCGCCUGAUUCCGUCACUCGGACUCCGGGUGCUCUCAGUGGCCUACGCAUCGCCAGUCCUGACAACAGCCUAGCAACAACUGGCUAGAGGCUAUGCCCACCUAGACCCCUUUGAGGUCAUGGGAUCACGGAGCCAGAAAUGCCUGUAGAGCAAUCUAGAUUUGAGGGGGAUGACAUUUGAACUGCGAUCUGAAGGGACAAGAGGAAGGUAGCCCUGAAAGGAACAUAGCGAAAAGCAUCCCUGGUAGAAGGAAAAUAAGCAAAGAUUGUGAGGCCGAAAUGAAGAGUAACAUCAAGGGAACUUGGUUUAUGAUACAGACGGCAUUACAAGUUUAGGCCAGCAUGUCUGGAGUAUGGUGCAAGAGAGAGAAAGAAGUGAAGAUGAGAUUGGAGAAGGAGCAAAGAGCCAGGUCAUGUAGGACAGUAUAGCUCAAGGCCAAAUAAUACCCACCUGUGAGUCCAGUGUGACUGAUGAGCCAACGGUCUGCAACCUCAAAACAGAAAGAAGGAGGAGGGUCCAAGAUCUUGCCAACACUAAGAUGUCAGAGGAGUAGGAUCCAGCCAUCAAAGAAUGUUCAGAACCCACUGAACAGACAGAGGGAAAACCAAGAGUGUGAUAUUCCUCAAGACAAAAGAAGAAAGCGGCAGGAAGAAGCUGAAUGGUCAGCUUUGUAGGCUGCUGACAAGAGUUUGGGUAAGGUGAGGACACACAAAUGUCCAUUUGAUGUGACAUCAUGAGUAUUGGUUGGUAACCUCAACUAGAGAAGUUUCUGUAGAUCUCUGGUAUGGAAUCCUGUCUGAAGAAGAUUGAAGAAUUAAUGUGAGAUAUGAAAGUAAAAAGAGCAGGGCAAUUACCCUCUUCAGAAGUUUUUCUGAGAAAGAGGAGAAUAAAACCGGGGCUGUGCUAUUAAGGGGAUAUGAGGUUUUGGAAGGAAUUCUUAAAGAUAAGUUUAUUAGUAUGUUCUCAUGCCUGUAAUAAAGACAUA
RNAcentral lists this long non-coding RNA (1004 nucleotides) under Homo sapiens (human). RNAcentral's name for it is "HSALNT0291625". Lineage: Eukaryota; Metazoa; Chordata; Mammalia; Primates; Hominidae. The record is from RNAcentral.